UAAAGGGACUGUAAGUAGGAAUUACUCCCAUCUAGUGGUGAAAUUGUAUUUUGCAUUCAAACUAAUUUUGCUCUCCAGCGCCUCGCUUUUUCAAAUGCGCGAUGUCUUCUUAAUAGCACUUCGUUGAGUUUUCCUUCAGGUGAACAGGUGUGUUAUUUCAAACAAACUGCAACAUGACAACUAACAAACGAAUGUUACAGUAUGAAUUACUGAUUGUGGAAAACAUGAAAUAUUGUAAUUAGUAGUUAUGUCUUCUUUAUUCGUUAUAUUUUCUGAAUUAUGUGCAUUGUUAGAUAU
Carassius carassius (crucian carp) is the source of this 297-nucleotide long non-coding RNA. RefSeq lists it as uncharacterized. The record is from RefSeq and is a predicted model, not a curated record. The transcript is spliced from 2 exons. NCBI's taxonomy places the organism in Eukaryota, Metazoa, Chordata, Actinopteri, Cypriniformes, Cyprinidae.